Molecule: RNA transcript, 471 nt
Organism: Caenorhabditis elegans
Lineage: Eukaryota; Metazoa; Nematoda; Chromadorea; Rhabditida; Rhabditidae
Gene: rpl-22
Gene name: Non-coding transcript of protein-coding gene rpl-22
Exons: 3
Source: RefSeq, marked reviewed
AUGGUCCCAAAGCCACACGCCAAGUCGGCCAAGAAGGCUCUUCGCAAGAAGAAGGUGCACCUCAAGUUCAACGUUGAGUGCAAGAACCCAGUUGAGGAUGGAAUUCUCAGAAUCGAAGAUCUUUCGAUAGAGUUCCCGUCUCUAUCGCAAGACCAGGCUUAGGGUAUAUAUUGGUCCCUAGUAAGUCCCGGUUGUUUUCAGGAAGCCUUCUUGAACGAGAAGAUCAAGGUCAAUGGAAAGACCGGACAUUUGGCCGCUAACAACGUCAAGGUCGAGGUCGCCAAGUCCAAGGUCUCAGUCGUCUCCGAGGUCCCAUUCUCGAAGAGAUACCUCAAGUACCUUACCAAGAAGUACCUCAAGAGAAACUCCCUCCGUGAUUGGCUCCGUGUGGUCGCUGUCAACAAGAACACCUACGAGGUCAGAUACUUCCACAUCAACGACGGAGAGGACGCAGGAAGCGACCACGAGUAA